UACGAAGGGGGCUAGCGUUGCUCGGAAUCACUGGGCGUAAAGGGCGCGUAGGCGGCCAUUCAAGUCGGGGGUGAAAGCCUGUGGCUCAACCACAGAAUUGCCUUCGAUACUGUUUGGCUUGAGACCGGAAGAGGUAAGUGGAACUGCGAGUGUAGAGGUGAAAUUCGUAGAUAUUCGCAAGAACACCAGUGGCGAAGGCGGCUCACUGGCCCGGUACUGACGCUGAGAUGCGAAAGCGUGGGGAGCAAACAGG
This 253-nucleotide ribosomal RNA is filed under the name uncultured bacterium. RNAcentral's name for it is "partial 16S ribosomal RNA". It matches the Rfam family "Bacterial small subunit ribosomal RNA", at positions 524 to 776 of the family's 1533-position model. The record is from RNAcentral.